UGGCUCAGAUUGAACGCUGGCGGCAGGCCUAACACAUGCAAGUCGAACGGUAACAGGAAGCAGCUUGCUGCUUCGCUGACGAGUGGCGGACGGGUGAGUAAUGUCUGGGAAACUGCCUGAUGGAGGGGGAUAACUACUGGAAACGGUGGCUAAUACCGCAUAACGUCGCAAGACCAAAGAGGGGGACCUUCGGGCCUCUUGCCAUCAGAUGUGCCCAGAUGGGAUUAGCUUGUUGGUGAGGUAACGGCUCACCAAGGCGACGAUCCCUAGCUGGUCUGAGAGGAUGACCAGCCACACUGGAACUGAGACACGGUCCAGACUCCUACGGGAGGCAGCAGUGGGGAAUAUUGCACAAUGGGCGCAAGCCUGAUGCAGCCAUGCCGCGUGUAUGAAGAAGGCCUUCGGGUUGUAAAGUACUUUCAGCGGGGAGGAAGGUGUUGUGGUUAAUAACCGCAGCAAUUGACGUUACCCGCAGAAGAAGCACCGGCUAACUCCGUGCCAGCAGCCGCGGUAAUACGGAGGGUGCAAGCGUUAAUCGGAAUUACUGGGCGUAAAGCGCACGCAGGCGGUCUGUCAAGUCGGAUGUGAAAUCCCCGGGCUCAACCUGGGAACUGCAUUCGAAACUGGCAGGCUUGAGUCUUGUAGAGGGGGGUAGAAUUCCAGGUGUAGCGGUGAAAUGCGUAGAGAUCUGGAGGAAUACCGGUGGCGAAGGCGGCCCCCUGGACAAAGACUGACGCUCAGGUGCGAAAGCGUGGGGAGCAAACAGGAUUAGAUACCCUGGUAGUCCACGCCGUAAACGAUGUCUACUUGGAGGUUGUGCCCUUGAGGCGUGGCUUCCGGAGCUAACGCGUUAAGUAGACCGCCUGGGGAGUACGGCCGCAAGGUUAAAACUCAAAUGAAUUGACGGGGGCCCGCACAAGCGGUGGAGCAUGUGGUUUAAUUCGAUGCAACGCGAAGAACCUUACCUGGUCUUGACAUCCACGGAAGGUCUCAGAGAUGAGACUGUGCCUUCGGGAGCCGUGAGACAGGUGCUGCAUGGCUGUCGUCAGCUCGUGUUGUGAAAUGUUGGGUUAAGUCCCGCAACGAGCGCAACCCUUAUCCUUUGUUGCCAGCGGUUAGG
Molecule: ribosomal RNA, 1120 nt
Filed under: Salmonella enterica subsp. salamae serovar Springs
Lineage: Bacteria; Pseudomonadati; Pseudomonadota; Gammaproteobacteria; Enterobacterales; Enterobacteriaceae
Description: bacterial SSU rRNA
Rfam family: Bacterial small subunit ribosomal RNA
Source: RNAcentral